GAUGAAGAACGCAGCGAAAUGCGAUAAGUAAUGUGAAUUGCAGAAUUCAGUGAAUCAUCGAGUCUUUGAACGCACAUUGCGCCCCCUGGUAUUCCGGGGGGCAUGCCUGUCCGAGCGUCAUUGCUGCCCAUCAAGCACGGCUUGUGUGUUGGGUCGUCGUCCCCUCUCCGGGGGGGACGGGCCCCAAAGGCAGCGGCGGCACCGCGUCCGAUCCUCGAGCGUAUGGGGCUUUGUCACCCGCUCUGUAGGCCCGGCCGGCGCUUGCCGAACGCAAAACAACCAUUUUUUCCAGGUUGACCUCGGAUCAGGUAGGGAUACCCGCUGAACUUAAGCAUAUCAAUAAGCGGAGGA
RNAcentral lists this unclassified non-coding RNA (351 nucleotides) under soil metagenome. RNAcentral's name for it is "partial contains 5.8S ribosomal RNA, internal transcribed spacer 2, and large subunit ribosomal RNA". The stretch from base 1 to 120 matches the Rfam family "5.8S ribosomal RNA", at positions 35 to 154 of the family's 154-position model. The record is from RNAcentral.